RNAcentral lists this ribosomal RNA (507 nucleotides) under uncultured bacterium. Its description in RNAcentral is "partial 16S ribosomal RNA". The record is from RNAcentral.
GGAGUUAGCCGGUGCUUCUUCUGUGAGUGAUGUCCUUCCUGCCGGCUAUUAACCCGCAGGCCUUCUUCCUCACUGAAAGUGCUUUACAACCCGAAGGCCUUCUUCACACACGCGGCAUGGCUGGAUCAGGGUUGCCCCCAUUGUCCAAUAUUCCCCACUGCUGCCUCCCGUAGGAGUCUGGGCCGUGUCUCAGUCCCAGUGUGGCUGAUCAUCCUCUCAGACCAGCUACGGAUCGUCGCCUUGGUGAGCCGUUACCUCACCAACCAGCUAAUCCGACAUAGGCUCAUCCGAUAGCGCGAGGCCCGAAGGUCCCCCGCUUUCCCCCGUAGGGCGUAUGCGGUAUUAGCCUGGGUUUCCCCAGGUUAUCCCCCACUACCGGGCAGAUUCCUAUGCAUUACUCACCCGUCCGCCGCUCGCCACCAGGGAGCAAGCUCCCCGUGCUGCCGCUCGACUUGCAUGUGUUAGGCCUGCCGCCAGCGUUCAAUCUGAGCCAGGAUCAGACUCUGA